GGAAGUGUGCCCGAGAGAUAAGGAUCUCCUUGAUAAGGAGGA
Molecule: transfer RNA, 42 nt
Filed under: Phyllodytes gyrinaethes
Lineage: Eukaryota; Metazoa; Chordata; Amphibia; Anura; Hylidae
Description: partial tRNA-Ile
Source: RNAcentral